GAUGAACGCUGGCGGCGUGCCUAAUACAUGCAAGUCGAGCGAACAGACGAGGAGCUUGCUCCUCUGACGUUAGCGGCGGACGGGGGAGUAACACGUGGAUAACCUACCUAUAAGACUGGGAUAACUUCGGGAAACCGGAGCUAAUACCGGAUAAUAUAUUGAACCGCAUGGUUCAAUAGUGAAAGACGGUUUUGCUGUCACUUAUAGAUGGAUCCGCGCCGCAUUAGCUAGUUGGUAAGGUAACGGCUUACCAAGGCAACGAUGCGUAGCCGACCUGAGAGGGUGAUCGGCCACACUGGAACUGAGACACGGUCCAGGCUCCUACGGGAGGCAGCAGUAGGGAAUCUUCCGCAAGGGGCGAAAGCCUGACGGAGCAACGCCGCGUGAGUGAUGAAGGUCUUCGGAUCGUAGAACUCUGUUAUUAGGGAAGAACAAAUGUGUAAGUAACUAUGCACGUCUUGACGGUACCUAAUCAGAAAGCCACGGCUAACUACGUG
Molecule: ribosomal RNA, 497 nt
Filed under: uncultured bacterium
Lineage: Bacteria
Description: partial 16S ribosomal RNA
Rfam family: Bacterial small subunit ribosomal RNA
Source: RNAcentral